CCUGGUGAAAUUAGCGCUGUGGAACCACCCGAUCCCAUCCCGAACUCGGAAGUGAAACGCAGCUGCGCCGAUGGUAGUGUGGCUCAAGCCAUGC
RNAcentral lists this ribosomal RNA (94 nucleotides) under Stenotrophomonas maltophilia. The record is from RNAcentral. RNAcentral also lists the same sequence under 3 other names. Lineage: Bacteria; Pseudomonadati; Pseudomonadota; Gammaproteobacteria; Lysobacterales; Lysobacteraceae.